Long non-coding RNA from Hippocampus zosterae (dwarf seahorse), 817 nucleotides. RefSeq lists it as uncharacterized. NCBI's taxonomy places the organism in Eukaryota, Metazoa, Chordata, Actinopteri, Syngnathiformes, Syngnathidae. The record is from RefSeq and is a predicted model, not a curated record. The transcript is spliced from 2 exons.
UGUUAUAAGUGUCAUAACCUGGUCUCCACUUGAGUUUUCUGUUUCAUAUUGUUACUAAUUAAGAUUCCGUAUCAUGUUUACAUCUUUACAGUGCUUGAAACGAUAGACCACUUGGCCAAUCAUUGCAUUUUCUUCCAUAUCACGUGGUCACAUGGGGUACGUGGCCAAUUGUGUUCAUGAACAGUGUGUUUAACAUGUUUUGGUUCAAGAAGGUGUAGGCAGCUAGAGUGACAAGCUGCACGUUUAUUCAAACUUACAGUAUUUACGUGACUUUUCUUUUCUCUCAGCUUGAAUUAUGUUUCAGAGUCAAUACUGUGUAUAUGUGACCUUGUAAGAGCCCUCUACCCCACACAAAACUGCUGAUGAGUUGUGACCGCUCCGGCGAGUCACCCAGCUAGCUCGAUUUAGUCGCGUGUGCAUCAUUUGUCAGCUGUUUCAUAAGUGUCCUUCAUCCAAUUUGAAAGACAAGGCCUCACCAACUAGUUUUGUGGCUCAAAGACUCUGCAGGACCAACUCAGUCUGAACAGCCAUCAGGUGAUGAAUGCAUGUCCAUGAUGGAGCAUUUAACAAACCAGCCAAUUGUGAAAGUUUCCAAAUGAAGGCAAUGUUAACAUACAGAGAGAUGCUACACUUUCCAAACCAGGUGUCACGGUCUUGUCAAAUAUGUAAUGUCUAUUAUAGCCACUACUGCCUGGGUUGAAAACUAUGGAACUAAAUUCCAGAAUGAAAUGUUUGUAUGUGUAAGUACCGAAAAUGAAUCCCUACUUUCAGGAAAAUUGUUAACAUCAUAACAAUAAAACAUUUCUUUUGAACACCA